CGUAGGGUGCGAGCGUUAAUCGGAAUUACUGGGCGUAAAGCGUGCGCAGGCGGUGAUGUAAGACAGAUGUGAAAUCCCCGGGCUCAACCUGGGACCUGCAUUUGUGACUGCAUCGCUGGAGUACGGUAGAGGGGGAUGGAAUUCCGCGUGUAGCAGUGAAAUGCGUAGAUAUGCGGAGGAACACCGAUGGCGAAGGCAAUCCCCUGGACCUGUACUGACGCUCAUGCACGAAAGCGUGGGGAGCAAACAGGAUUAGAUACCCUGGUAGUCCACGCCCUAAACGAUGUCAACUGGUUGUUGGGUCUUUACUGACUCAGUAACGAAGCUAACGCGUGAAGUUGACCGCCUGGGGAGUACGGCCGCAAGGUUG
RNAcentral lists this ribosomal RNA (370 nucleotides) under uncultured organism. RNAcentral's name for it is "bacterial SSU rRNA". It matches the Rfam family "Bacterial small subunit ribosomal RNA", at positions 526 to 896 of the family's 1533-position model. The record is from RNAcentral.